GAACAGGAGACGUCUCUAAACUUUAUUGAAACAUCUGUGGACAUUAACGGUUGGAGCUGAAGCUACCGUCACAGCCGAAGGCCUCCUCUUCCUCCUCCGAUGAAGGUGAACGAAGAUCAGAGCGGUGUCGUUUCUGAUGCAAGCACCAAAACCCCGACUUCCUCCCACUGAAUCCGAGCCCCGCCAUCAGAGGAAUCCCCCCAAUCAAACAUCAGCACGGGGAUCAGGAACGAUUAAUGUUCCUGUUAAAUUCAACCUGUUUUCUCCUGACGACCCUGCUAACGGGCUGAACGGCAGGCGUUUCUAACGGCAACUCGCUUCUGUCCUCACCCAUCAGUCAAACAACUCCCCGAGUUUAACGAGAGGAGGAACGCUAACGUCCGACCAUGAGCUCCCAGAACACGGAGCGCAAACAAACAGAAACAUGACAGCCUGGCGUUCAUCAUCAAGUUUUAGCUCGAGCUUCCUGUGUGCAGAAAACAAAGAGACGAGGCGGCACGCACCCCCAACAACAACGAUAAUAAACCCAAAAAAACAGACGUGAGAACAGAGGAAACCAAACCCACACGGCCGCUCUCCAUCAUCCAUCGAUUCGCUCGAGGUCCCUGCCGAAGCUCCUCUAAGCCUAUUAGAAUGUUUCUACUCUGCAGCUUCUAUUUACACGUACGCCUGCACAGCAACACGAACCGCCUCCACCUGCCCCAACUCCCCAUCGCAACAGGAAGUGACACGUGUACGCUCAGGAGGGCAGACAGCCGCACGUUAAAGGGACGCGGCGCCGUUACAGGACUCGAGGCCUUCAUAAAGGAUGAAGGAAAGUUCAGCUUAAUUCAACUUAAACUAUCUGAUGUUUAAUCUGCUAAUUAUUCUCUUCAUUUAUCACAAAGUACAUAACUCUUCUUUUAAUGCUGGACCCUAAACCCCGCCCCCAUCACAGGUCUGCAGUUUGAAUCUUUACGAUAAGGAAAAACGAGAAGCUGGAAUUAUUUUCCUGAAGCUCAAAAACACUCAGAAAUGUCAAAACCAUCCGUUUAAACAGAAACAAGUCGCUAAACUCAGUUUAUUCACGAGUCUCACGCGUCUGCGUCGCACGUGUGAGACUGUUCUGAUGGAACACAGCAAAAUAUCCGGAUUAUAAACAUUCAGGAAUGUUUGAGUGCGUUUAGCUGCAGUGAUGCUGUCAGAGAGAAGCUCUGGAUUUGAUUCAAGCUGUUUUUGUUUCCUCCAGGUUUGAAGUCUCGUUUAAAGUUUGAACUGCAGUUUCACUGAACGCUGAAACACACGCGACGUCUCGCUAAACUACGGCCGUCCGAACACGGAGGAAGCGAUCUUUGCUCUACCUGCACCUCUGAGCGCCCACGUGAGUUACCGCACCUCUAUAAAGUGUUAUUAACCGUUUAUUACAUGUUUAUCUGCUGAUUACACGUUAAAGUUAGAGGAAUGAGCACUGAUCAGAAGCCAAAACAAGCCGAGCUGUCUUCAAACUCUGUAACUGCGACGGAUGGACCACGACGCGUCCUCCUGCAGGAGGAGCGCCUGACGCAGAAAUCCGUUUCCAAGAUUCAACAGAAAACAAAUAAAAAUACUCUGAGAGCACCGACAGCGCCGAGGUCGACUCCUCGUCAACUUGUCAGUCCCAUUUUGCUCAAAGAUACAGCAUCGAACCGCCGACCCGCCCGACUGCUACACGGGCUAAACAAAACAAAAAAAAGGGGAGAAAGUCUGAAUCCACCAGUGAUGCUGUGGGCGGAGCCUGUCUCCAUCCCGCCCUCCCUCCUUUACCAUGGUGGAUGUUUUUGGACCGCAGCUCCUCAC
This is a long non-coding RNA of Astatotilapia calliptera (eastern happy), 1815 nucleotides long. The record is from Ensembl. NCBI's taxonomy places the organism in Eukaryota, Metazoa, Chordata, Actinopteri, Cichliformes, Cichlidae.